GUCUACGCCCAUACCACCCUGAACGUACCUGAUCUCAUCUGAUCUCGGGAGCUAAGCAGGAUUGGGCCUGGCUAGUACUUGGAUGCGAGA
RNAcentral lists this ribosomal RNA (90 nucleotides) under Ailuropoda melanoleuca (giant panda). Lineage: Eukaryota; Metazoa; Chordata; Mammalia; Carnivora; Ursidae. The record is from RNAcentral.